CAGUCGAGCGGUAGAGAAGGAGCUUGCUUCUUCUUGAGAGCGGCGGACGGGUGAGUAAUGCCUAGGAAUCUGCCUGGUAGUGGGGGACAACGUUUCGAAAGGAACGCUAAUACCGCAUACGUCCUACGGUAGAAAGUGGGGGAUCUUCGGACCUCACGCUAUCAGAUGACCCUAGGUCGGAUUACCUUGUAGGUGAAGUAAUGGCUCACCUAGGCGACGAUCCGUAACUGGUCUGAGAGGAUGAUCAGUCACACUGGAACUGAGACACGGUCCAGACUCCUACGGGAGGCACCAGUGGGGAAUAUUGGACAAUGGGCGAAAGCCUGAUCCAGCCAUGCCGCGUGUGUGAAGAAGGUCUUCGGAUUGUAAAGCACUUUAAGUUGGGAGGAAGGGUUGUAGCUUAAUACGCUGCAACUUUGACGUUACCAACUGAAUAAGCACCGGCUAACUCUGUGCCAUCAGCCGCGGUAAUACAGAGGGUGCAAGCGUUAAUCGGAAUUACUGGCCGUUAAAGCCGCGCGCUAGGCGGUCUUGAUAAGACUGAGUUGUUGAAAUCCCCAGGCUCUAACCGUGGGAAGCUGCAUCCGAUAACUGUGCUGGCUAGAGUACAAGUAGAGGAGAGGUGGAAUUUCACUGUGUAGCGCUGAAAUGCAGUAGAAUAUAGGAAGGAACACCAGUGAGCGAAAGGCGACUCACCUGGACUGAUACUCGACGCUGAGGUGCGACAAGCGAUGCGGAGCAAACAGGAGUUAGAUACCCUGAGUAGUCCGACGCUCGUAAACGAUGUCAACUAGCCUGUUGGGAAUCCUUGAUGAUUUUAGCUGGCGCAGCUAACGCACUAAGUUGACCGCCUGGAUGGAGUACGGUCGCAAGAUUAAAACUCAAAUGAAUUGACGGGGGCCCGCACAAGCGGUGGAGCAUGUGGUUUAAUUCGAAGCAACGCGAAGAACCUUACCUGGCCUUGACAUGCAGAGAACUUUCCAGAGAUGGAUUGGUGCCUUCGGGAACUCUGACACAGGUGCUGCAUGGCUGUCGUCAGCUCGUGUCGUGAGAUGUUGGGUUAAGUCCCGUAACGAGCGCAACCCUUGUCCUUAGUUACCAGCACAUUAUGGUGGGCACUCUAAGGAGACUGCCGGUGACAAACCGGAGGAAGGUGGGGAUGACGUCAAGUCAUCAUGGCCCUUACGGCCAGGGCUACACACGUGCUACAAUGGUCGGUACAGAGGGUUGCCAAGCCGCGAGGUGGAGCUAAUCCCAUAAAACCGAUCGUAGUCCGGAUUGGAGUCUGCAACUCGACUCCAUGAAGUCGGAAUCGCUAGUAAUCGUGGAUCAGAAUGCCACGGUGAAUACGUUCCCGGGCCUUGUACACACCGCCCGUCACACCAUGGGAGUGGGUUGCACCAGAAGUAGCUAGUCUAACC
RNAcentral lists this ribosomal RNA (1421 nucleotides) under Pseudomonas sp. RNAcentral describes it as "bacterial SSU rRNA". It matches the Rfam family "Bacterial small subunit ribosomal RNA". Lineage: Bacteria; Pseudomonadati; Pseudomonadota; Gammaproteobacteria; Pseudomonadales; Pseudomonadaceae. The record is from RNAcentral.